RNAcentral lists this ribosomal RNA (253 nucleotides) under uncultured bacterium. Its description in RNAcentral is "partial 16S ribosomal RNA". It matches the Rfam family "Bacterial small subunit ribosomal RNA", at positions 524 to 776 of the family's 1533-position model. The record is from RNAcentral.
UACGAAGGGGGCUAGCGUUGCUCGGAAUCACUGGGCGUAAAGCGCACGUAGGCGGACCCUUAAGUCAGGGGUGAAAUCCUGGAGCUCAACUCCAGAACUGCCUUUGAUACUGGGAGUCUUGAGUUCGGGAGAGGUGAGUGGAACUGCGAGUGUAGAGGUGAAAUUCGUAGAUAUUCGCAAGAACACCAGUGGCGAAGGCGGCUCACUGGCCCGAUACUGACGCUGAGGUGCGAAAGCGUGGGGAGCAAACAGG